Non-coding RNA from Aedes albopictus (Asian tiger mosquito), 74 nucleotides. The record is from Rfam. NCBI's taxonomy places the organism in Eukaryota, Metazoa, Arthropoda, Insecta, Diptera, Culicidae.
UGUUCUGUGGCUUAAUUGGUUAAAGCUUCCGUCAAAGAAGCACAAAGUCGUGGGUUCGAAUCCCCCUAGAACGC